CGCGGCUUGAACAACAUCAAAACCUAGCGUGCAUCUUUUGACGAAGUAGAGAUUUUGAUACGCAGAAAGUAUGACUACAUUACAAAUUUCGGCAUCGCGUAGGGUUUUCUUAUGCGAAGAGCAUACAGUGAUGUGUGGAAAACAAGUUGUGGCCUCUUAAAUCUUCGUACCACGCUCAAUUUCUACAAACUACCUCUAGAGCCAGCAAUCGUUAGGAUAGAGUUGCCUAAGGUUAUCAUCCAAAAUGAGAAACUCGUUAUAUAAUCUUUUCACUUGGCCACGCGAUUAACAACAAACGCUGGUCUUGGCAGUUCCCGACAUGUCUCGCAGGAUGCUUUUUACGUUGGUCGUGUCUGCAGAAAGAUGAAAUGCAAUAAUUGGUCAACAUGAAAUAUAGAUAUAGCAACGCCGUCGUUGUCCAUUUAAACAAGAUUAAUGCCAUAUCGCAUAUAGAUUCAACACUCCGUAUAAGAGGUAUCAGGGUUCACAGAGCAAACAUGGAGUUACAAUUACUCGAAGGAUUAUAUGAAAAU
Long non-coding RNA from Camponotus floridanus (Florida carpenter ant), 533 nucleotides. RefSeq lists it as uncharacterized. The record is from RefSeq and is a predicted model, not a curated record. The transcript is spliced from 4 exons. Lineage: Eukaryota; Metazoa; Arthropoda; Insecta; Hymenoptera; Formicidae.